CCUACGGGCGGCAGCAGUGAGGAAUAUUGGUCAAUGGACGCAAGUCUGAACCAGCCAUGCCGCGUGCAGGAAGACGGUGCUAUGAGUUGUAAACUGCUUUUGUCCGAGGGCAAACGCAGACACGCGUAUCUGUCUGAAAGUAUCGUACGAAUAAGCAUCGGCUAACUCCGUGCCAGCAGCCGCGGUAAUACGGAGGAUUCAAGCGUUAUCCGGAUUUAUUGGGUUUAAAGGGUGCGUAGGCGGUCGGAUAAGUUAGAGGUGAAAUCCCGAGGCUCAACUUCGGAAUUGCCUCUGAGACUGUUCGGCUAGAGAGUAGGUGCGGUAGGCGGAAUGUAUGGUGUAGCGGUGAAAUGCUUAGAGAUCGUACAGAACACCGAUUGCGAAGGCAGCAUACCGGG
RNAcentral lists this ribosomal RNA (398 nucleotides) under uncultured bacterium. RNAcentral's name for it is "partial 16S ribosomal RNA". It matches the Rfam family "Bacterial small subunit ribosomal RNA", at positions 338 to 733 of the family's 1533-position model. The record is from RNAcentral.